CAGUCGCCGCGGUAAUACAGAGGGUGCGAGCGUUAAUCGGAUUUACUGGGCGUAAAGCGUGCGUAGGCGGCUUUUUAAGUCGGAUGUGAAAUCCCUGAGCUUAACUUAGGAAUUGCAUUCGAUACUGGGAAGCUAGAGUAUGGGAGAGGAUGGUAGAAUUCCAGGUGUAGCGGUGAAAUGCGUAGAGAUCUGGAGGAAUACCGAUGGCGAAGGCAGCCAUCUGGCCUAAUACUGACGCUGAGGUACGAAAGCAUGGGGAGCAAACAGGAUUAGAUACCCCUUUAGUCCCUGUCUCUUAUAC
RNAcentral lists this ribosomal RNA (301 nucleotides) under uncultured bacterium. Its description in RNAcentral is "partial 16S ribosomal RNA". It matches the Rfam family "Bacterial small subunit ribosomal RNA", at positions 509 to 807 of the family's 1533-position model. The record is from RNAcentral.